This 253-nucleotide ribosomal RNA is filed under the name uncultured bacterium. RNAcentral's name for it is "partial 16S ribosomal RNA". It matches the Rfam family "Bacterial small subunit ribosomal RNA", at positions 524 to 776 of the family's 1533-position model. The record is from RNAcentral.
UACGUAGGUGGCAAGCGUUGUCCGGAAUUAUUGGGCGUAAAGCGCGCGCAGGCGGCCUUUUAAGUCUGAUGUGAAAUCUUGCGGCUCAACCGCAAGCGGCCAUUGGAAACUGGGAGGCUUGGGUACAGAAGAGGAGAGUGGAAUUCCACGUGUAGCGGUGAAAUGCGUAGAUAUGUGGAGGAACACCAGUGGCGAAGGCGACUCUCUGGUCUGUAACUGACGCUGAGGCGCGAAAGCGUGGGGAGCAAACAGG